UGGGAUGGAGCGCGCCUUGGCCCGCUGGCCUUGGCUGCAGCUCCUCGGGAGAGCCGGGGCGCCCACGCGAGAACCUCCCUACCUGAGGACGCUGGGAACACGGAUUCCUGGAUCCCACCAGCCUACGAAGAAAGCCACGGGCGGCGACCCCUGGGACCAGGACGACCAAGGAGGAGGACGACCAGAACUGACCAGCCAGCCCCCUUGGCUAAAGGCUUAGACCUGUGCCCUAGUGAGGGGGCAUUGGUCGCCAACCCCUGACCUUUGCUAUGCUUCUGCCUUGUUGCUCUGAUACUUGCCUCUAUGUCUCUGCCUGUGUUAACCUGCCAGCGCCCUGGAGGGUUGCCAUCCCCAGGGAGGUGUCAGUCUUUCUCGCUCCACUUGUUGUCGCCCGAAUGACGUCCUGAACGGAAGGGUCCCUUUGGGAACGUCUCGGGAGGCCGACCUGGGCCAAGGGCACAACCAGCAUCUCACUGGCAAUUCCAAGGCCCUGGGUGGGCUUCUGGAAUGAGCAUGAGCCCCGACGUCAUGCCAUGGAACUGCCAGGGGCACCCCCCCUCCUUUGAGCUCUCCCUGUCCCUCCUGGGGGGACAGGGACGAGAAGAGCAGUCUCCCAGGGGGUUGUGAGUAUUGAAUGAGAUGAAGUCGCCUCGGGCAGGGCCAGGCAUAGAGGAGGCAGUCGGCAAAUGUUUGUUGAUAAAGUUUGGCCGAUCAGUCCAGCCCCGGCCCGCUCCCGUGUCUCACCGUCUCAUUUAUUCUCCCACAGCACUCCGGAUGGCCCCUGGCCACGGGGCUCUGCCCGCACCAGGUAGGGCUCCACCCAGACGGGCGUCGGGCUGACAUGAGUCAGGGCACGCACUGUGCCUGUGGUCAUUUCUAGAACUUUCUGUGUUCUCGGCCUGCGUUGUUACUGCGUCAGGCAUACGUGGGAGUGAGGCGGCCCCACUGACAGGAGUAUGAAUUUGGCUUCGAUUUGAGUAAUUUUAAAAGGUGACCUCCAGCCCCCACCCCAGGGGCACAGGACUGAUUUACGUGUCCUGAGGUCCUGAGGCUGGAGGAGCGUUAGCAUCUUGUCGCAUUGCUGGCAAGAGAAGGGGUCCAAGUUGGCCCCUGGGUGCCAUUUGUGGCUGCCCCUUACCCCCCCUGCCCCAGAGUUCUCCUGAGCGCUCUUUGAUUUCCAAUCAAACAUUUGACAGUGGGACAGCCUGUUUGAAAUCCCAGCUGCCCAGGGUGGUCUCGGGGGGUCUUGGGUGGCCCCAGUGCUGGUACCAUGUGCUGGGACCACCUCUCAAUAACGGUGUGACCUUAAAUACGUCGCUUAACUUCUCCGGGUCUCAGUUCUUUUCAUGGCCUAAAUGGGGAUUAGGAAAAAAAAAAAAA
Molecule: long non-coding RNA, 1380 nt
Organism: Sus scrofa (pig)
Lineage: Eukaryota; Metazoa; Chordata; Mammalia; Artiodactyla; Suidae
Gene: MEG3
Product: maternally expressed 3
Source: RefSeq, marked provisional